RNAcentral lists this ribosomal RNA (404 nucleotides) under uncultured prokaryote. RNAcentral describes it as "bacterial SSU rRNA". It matches the Rfam family "Bacterial small subunit ribosomal RNA", at positions 355 to 774 of the family's 1533-position model. The record is from RNAcentral.
UGGGGAAUAUUGCACAAUGGGCGAAAGCCUGAUGCAGCAACGCCGCGUGAAGGAUGAAGGCCUUUGGGUCGUAAACUUCUGUCCUUGGGGAAGAAAAAAAUGACGGUACCCCUGGAGGAAGUCCCGGCUAACUACGUGCCAGCAGCCGCGGUAAUACGUAGGGGGCGAGCGUUAUCCGGAAUUCUUGGGCGUAUAGAGUACGUAGGUGGUUUUUUAAGCGCAGGGUUUAAGGCGAUGGCUCAACUGUCGUGUGCCCUGGAAACUGGAAGACUUGAGUACAGGAGAGGAAAGCGGAAUUCCUAGUGUAGCGGUGAAAUGCAUAGAUAUUAGGAGGAACACCAGUGGCGAAGGCGGCUUUCUGGACUGUAACUGACACUGAGGUACGAAAGCGUGGGGAGCAAACA